AACGAACGCUGGCGGCGUGCCUAACACAUGCAAGUCGAACGGAAGUAAGAAGCUUGCUUUUUACUUUAGUGGCGCACGGGUGAGUAACGCGUGGAUAAUCUGCCUGAUGCUCUGGGAUAACAUCUCGAAAGGGGUGCUAAUACCGGAUAAGCCCACGAGAACGCCGGUUUUUGCGGGAAAAGGAGGGGAGCUUCGGGCCUUCCGACAUGAGAUGAGUCCGCGCUCCAUUAGCGAGUUGGGGGUGUAAAGGACCACCAAGGGGACGAUGGGUAGGUGGUCUGAGAGGAUGAUCAGCCACACUGGAACUGAGACACGGUCCAGACUCCUACGGGAGGCAGCAGUGGGGAAUUUUGCGCAAUGGGGGCAACCCUGACGCAGCAACGCCGCGUGAGUGAUGAAGGCUUUCGGGUCGUAAAGCUCUGUCAGAAGGGAAGAAAUGUAGGUGGCUAAUAUCCAUUCUACUUGACGGUACCUUCAAAGGAAGCACCGGCUAACUCCGUGCCAGCCGCCGCGGUAA
Molecule: ribosomal RNA, 517 nt
Filed under: uncultured bacterium
Lineage: Bacteria
Description: partial 16S ribosomal RNA
Rfam family: Bacterial small subunit ribosomal RNA
Source: RNAcentral